AAUAAGUACAGUUUUACUAUGGCGUUUGACCGUUCGUUUUAUUUGAAAAAUUCUUAAUUUGUAUUUUUAUUGUUAUUAGAUAAUAAAAUAUAAAUAUUAUUUUUUUAAAAAAAUUAUAAUUCUUUUUCAAAUAAAACAUACAGUUAAAUGCUGGACGCGGAUAUCCACGGUUACCCAUAUU
RNAcentral lists this microRNA precursor (181 nucleotides) under Oryza barthii. Its description in RNAcentral is "MIR812 microRNA precursor family". It matches the Rfam family "MIR812 microRNA precursor family". Lineage: Eukaryota; Viridiplantae; Streptophyta; Magnoliopsida; Poales; Poaceae. The record is from Rfam by way of RNAcentral.